GGGGCUAAAACAUACGGCCGAAGCGACGGCAUAUGGAAUGAGGAGGUGGGGAGCUGCACAUGCGGGUUGAAGCAGGAUCGUAAGGACAUGUGGAAAGGAUGGGAGGGAGAAUGUUGGCAUGAGUAGCGAGAUGUGGGUGAGAAUCCAACAGGCCGUAAACACAAGGUUUCCAGGGGAAGGUUCGUCCGACCUGGGUUAGUCGGGACCUAAGCUGAGGCCGAAAGGCGUAGGGGAUGGACAACAGGUUGAUAUUCCUGUACUACCGAUAACAGUUUGAGAGAAGGGAUGACAUAGUAGGAUAAGCUAAGCACACAGUUGGUUAUGUGUGCCAAAGCAUUGCGGCAGUCAAAGUAGGCAAGUCCGCUCUGAUAAUGCUGGGAUGUGAUGGGGAGCGAAAUGUAGUAGCGAAGUAGCUGAUUACACACUGU
RNAcentral lists this ribosomal RNA (428 nucleotides) under Clostridioides difficile. RNAcentral's name for it is "bacterial LSU rRNA". It matches the Rfam family "Bacterial large subunit ribosomal RNA", at positions 1177 to 1608 of the family's 2925-position model. Lineage: Bacteria; Bacillati; Bacillota; Clostridia; Peptostreptococcales; Peptostreptococcaceae. The record is from RNAcentral.